RNAcentral lists this ribosomal RNA (512 nucleotides) under uncultured Oscillospiraceae bacterium. RNAcentral describes it as "partial 16S ribosomal RNA". The record is from RNAcentral. Lineage: Bacteria; Bacillati; Bacillota; Clostridia; Eubacteriales; Oscillospiraceae.
CACGUAGUUAGCCGUGGCUUCCUCCUUGGCUACCGUCAUUAUCGUCACCAGGGACAGAGGUUUACAAUCCGAAAACCUUCUUCCCUCACGCGGCGUCGCUGGGUCAGGGUUUCCCCCAUUGCCCAAUAUUCCCCACUGCUGCCUCCCGUAGGAGUCUGGGCCGUGUCUCAGUCCCAAUGUGGCCGUUCAACCUCUCAGUCCGGCUACCAAUCGUCGGCAUGGUGGGCCUCUACCCCGCCAUCUACCUAAUUGGACGCGAGCCCAUCUCUCAGCGGAUUGCUCCUUUGAUUGCAAAACCAUGCGGCUCUGCAAUGUUAUGCGGUAUUAGCGAUCGUUUCCAAUCGUUAUCCCCCUCUGAAAGGCAGGUUGCUCACGCGUUACUCACCCGUCCGCCACUCGAAUAUGCCUUCCUCGGCCGAAGCCUUGUCCAGCAUAUCCCCGUUCGACUUGCAUGUGUUAGGCGUCGCCGCCAGCGUUCGUCCUGUACGCCGAGGACGUCGAAACUCUACUCG